Otolemur garnettii (small-eared galago) is the source of this 644-nucleotide long non-coding RNA. RefSeq lists it as uncharacterized. The transcript has 3 exons. Lineage: Eukaryota; Metazoa; Chordata; Mammalia; Primates; Galagidae. The record is from RefSeq and is a predicted model, not a curated record.
CUUGUUUCUAGAUCUCAGGUGACCAUUCAUGAGCCUGAGGCUGUGAGAAAUGCUUGCUGGGCGAAGGGGCACUCUCACCCGAUUUUCUGAAGCUGUUCUAGAGAGACACUUUUCAGGUUGAUUUCAGCAUCACCAGCUUAUCCAACAAAAGUAUUAUCACAUACAUCAACAACGUCGAAAGUAGCCUAUUUUAAGAGAAAAUAUGCAGAAGAAGAAGAUUUACAUCAAGAUUACCAUGGGUAUUUUCCAAAACACCUGAUAUUACCUGAGGACAGGACUUGCAUUCUCAAACUUUCCCUGGAGAAGCUCAGGUUUCUUGAAGACCCAGAAACCUACUUAAGAAGGUCUGUGUUAAUUAACAAUUUGCUGAGGAAGAUACAUCUAGAGACGGAGAAAGAGAGCUAUGAUUACUUUAAAGAAGCUCCCUCUUAUCAGACUGCUUAUUCUGAUACAAGAAAACGGCUGAAGUUUAUGGUGCAGGAAUGCUGUUCUCAGUCUCUUUAUUACGAAGAGCUGCAUUCCUAUCAUAUUGUGCCUUAUGCUUCGGAGAAUGCCAUUUACGGGAUGGGCUACACUGGUGGCCACUUGGAGCAAAAUUCUCAGUUGCUUAUUUAUAAAAUGAAUUAAAGUAACUGUUCCAUUGA